CCGCGGGAUUAGAGUUUGAUCCUGGCUCAGAUUGAACGCUGGCGGCAUGCUUUACACAUGCAAGUCGAACGGUAACAGGGAGCUUGCUCCGCUGACGAGUGGCGAACGGGUGAGUAAUAUAUCGGAACGUACCCAAGAGUGGGGGAUAACGUAGCGAAAGUUACGCUAAUACCGCAUACGAUCUAAGGAUGAAAGCAGGGGAUCUUCGGACCUUGUGCUCCUGGAGCGGCCGAUAUCUGAUUAGCUAGUUGGUGAGGUAAAGGCUCACCAAGGCGACGAUCAGUAGCUGGCCUGAGAGGACGACCAGCCACACUGGAACUGAGACACGGUCCAGACUCCUACGGGAGGCAGCAGUGGGGAAUUUUGGACAAUGGGCGCAAGCCUGAUCCAGCAAUGCCGCGUGAGUGAAGAAGGCCUUCGGGUUGUAAAGCUCUUUUGUCAGGGAAGAAACGGGAGUGGCUAAUAUCCAUUCCUAAUGACGGUACCUGAAGAAUAAGCACCGGCUAACUACGUGCCAGCAGCCGCGGUAAUACGUAGGGGGCUAGCGUUGCUCGGAAUCACUGGGCGUAAAGGGCGCGUAGGCGGCGUUUUAAGUCGGGGGUGAAAGCCUGUGGCUCAACCACAGAAUGGCCUUCGAUACUGGGACGCUUGAGUAUGGUAGAGGUUGGUGGAACUGCGAGUGUAGAGGUGAAAUUCGUAGAUAUUCGCAAGAACACCGGUGGCGAAGGCGGCCAACUGGACCAUUACUGACGCUGAGGCGCGAAAGCGUGGGGAGCAAACAGGAUUAGAUACCCUGGUAGUCCACGCCGUANACGAUGAAUGCCAGCUGUUGGGGUGCUUGCACCUCAGUAGCGCAGCUAACGCUUUGAGCA
RNAcentral lists this ribosomal RNA (872 nucleotides) under uncultured beta proteobacterium. RNAcentral describes it as "bacterial SSU rRNA". It matches the Rfam family "Bacterial small subunit ribosomal RNA", at positions 1 to 866 of the family's 1533-position model. The record is from RNAcentral. Lineage: Bacteria; Pseudomonadati; Pseudomonadota; Betaproteobacteria.